RNAcentral lists this transfer RNA (74 nucleotides) under bacterium. RNAcentral's name for it is "tRNA-Met". It matches the Rfam family "tRNA". Rfam says of the family: Transfer RNA (tRNA) molecules are approximately 80 nucleotides in length. Their secondary structure includes four short double-helical elements and three loops (D, anti-codon, and T loops). The record is from RNAcentral. RNAcentral also lists the same sequence under 1 other name.
GCCGACGUAGCUCAGUGGUUAGUAGCACAUGCUUCAUAAGCAUGGGGUCGGAGGUUCGAAUCCUCCCGUCGGCA